CGGAGAGGGAGAUGAGGAGGCACUGCCUUCGGCCCAGGCGGUCGGCCAGCCCGCCCCACAGGAACGCGCCCACCAUCAUGCCCAGGAACAGCGUUAAAAUAGAAGUCCCUGCACACACGCACGCAUCACAUCAGCUUAACCAGAGAGGCAGGCUGAGGUGGCUGUGAAAUUAAACCCGAGGCUGAGCUGCAAAUGGCACCGAAUGGGAGGAUGCGACGUCCUGCGUCCAAAGCAGAGCAGCACCCCCUCUCCAGGCAGCGAUGCGGCUGUGAGGCUCACAGCACCGGGACACGAGCUGGCAAGGUGACCCAGC
Molecule: long non-coding RNA, 313 nt
Filed under: Gallus gallus (chicken)
Lineage: Eukaryota; Metazoa; Chordata; Aves; Galliformes; Phasianidae
Source: RNAcentral